GGUGCAGGGCUACUAUGAACAAUAGGAUUCAGCUUAGAACUUUCUUCCUGAUAGAGGAGAUCGAUAAGUAAGCAGCUUUUCCCCUUCUUUGCUGGCAGACAGCGCAAUGUGUAAACUGACUUCCUGAAGGGAGUUUGCCUCCCAGGUAAAGCAUUAGUUGGGGUCAGGGUGAUUCUCCUUGGAAGGGAAGAAAGGCACACAGGACAGGAUUAAUAGGAAAUGCAAAAUCAUAGGGACUCUUUGGCCUUUAGAAACCCAUAGGAAAUUUGGAUUGAGUUUGGAUUGGAUUGGGUAGUGCCAGGAGUUGAAGGUGGAGAUACAGGAGGGCCACAUAGCGACUGGCUCAAUAAAUGGUGCAAGGGAAAAACAAUUCACGGUAUCUCUUAAGAGUCUGCAUCUGUGUAUGUGUCUUGUCUAUACCACAUGCAUCAUCUGUAUAAUGGAAUAAAAAUUAUGCUUAUGUCCCAGGACUGCUGUAUCAAAUGAGGUAAUGUAUGUCGAUUAUCAGCCUAUUUAUUGGAUUUUUUUUUUGAUGUUGUUCUUUAUGAGUUGUAAAACUGUAAUAGCAGUGACAGCAGAGAUACGGGCGCUUUUUUUUUUUUUUGGGUACUGGGGAUUGAACCCAGGAGUGAUUAACCUCUGAGGCACAUCCCCAGCCCUUUUUAAUGUUUUUUAUUUAGAGACAGGGUCUUUCUAAGUUAGCUAAGUUGUUCAGGGCCUUGCUAUGUUGCUGAGGCUGGCUUUGAACUUGCAAUCCUCCCGCCUCAGCUUCCUGAACUGCAGGGCUUACAGGAAUGCACCACCACACCUGUCCUGGGGCUGUUCUUGUUGGUUGUGAAGGUCAUAAUAUUUCUGCUGCAACUUUCCCCUCUGUGUCUGUGAUCAAUUGUGGAGAACCUGAAAAGGAAACUCUGGAGAGCCUGUUAUUAUCCCGCUGGUGCUGGAAUGAAUGGCAGUGUGCUCCUGUCGUGAUGUGCUGCUUUGCCAGAGGCCCAUAGCAAUAGAGCCACUCAAUCAUGAAUUGGAUCUCCAGGACUAUGAGCCAAAUAAACACUUUCCCUUUGUAAGUUAAUUGUUAUAAUGAUGGAAAGAUGACGCAUACGGCAUAUUUUCACUCCUCUGGAUCUUAGUCUCAUCAGCUGGCGUCUGUGGUUGCUGGAGUUGCUCAUGGACCAUUGACUAUGUCCUAGGAGUACUAGGAGAGGAUCCACGGAAAUCACUGGCUUCCAGACACAUGCCUCUCUGCUUAUUCUGUGGAGUUCAGACCUUCUUUUUUCUUGAUUAUUAUGAACAAUCACCUCAAUUCACAAAGUAUUCCCUUGGUCCUAUUCACCUACAAAGUCAGGGGAUUGAGGUUUUUAAAAAUUAUCAGGUGGCGUUCGUAUCUUCUAGGUCAAUGGAACUCUUAUUUUGUCAGCCAAAGUUGUCCUUCUUCCUUUUGGUGCUGUAUAAGCAGAACCUCAAAAGAAUGGGAAAUAAAAAUCUUGCCAGGAGUUUUUAAGUGGUAGCACUGAGAAGUGCUUUUCCAACUUGUGUACCUUUUGGUCCUUGUUAUGGGCUGAGUUAUGUCUCCCCUGACCUAAAUUUACAUGUUAAAGGAUUAACCCCCAGUACCUCAGGAUGUGCCUGAAUUUGGAAAUAGGACUUUUAUGGGGAUAAUCAUGGGAAACGAAGCCAUUAAUAUAGGCCUUAAUUCAAUGUGACUGAUGGCAAAAGGAGGAGAUUGGGAUACAAACCUCCAGAGGAAAUAUGGUCUACAAGUUAUGAGAAAAGCCUGGUGUAAACAUCUUCGAGAUACAGUGUCAAGAAAGUGAAAAGCAGGAAUUUAUAGUCCAAGUCUGAAGGUCAUUGAAGUGGACAGAUUAUCAGAAGAAAGAUAAUAGAGGUUAAAACAAACAUGAACCAAAUGAACAGAAACGUAGCAGAAGAAAUCAGGGAAAAAAGGCAUUGAUCACCAUUUUACAGAUGAAGAAACUAUGGCUGAGAAAAGGACAGGCAUGUAAAAAUUGAUGUGAUGCAGAGCAUAGACCCAGAUGGUCUGACCCUCAAGAUCAUGUUCAUAUGGUAUGUGACUAUGUGUUUUGGAAAUUCAUGGUAUUGUUUCUAAC
This is a long non-coding RNA of Marmota monax (woodchuck), 2108 nucleotides long. RefSeq lists it as uncharacterized. NCBI's taxonomy places the organism in Eukaryota, Metazoa, Chordata, Mammalia, Rodentia, Sciuridae. The record is from RefSeq and is a predicted model, not a curated record. The transcript is spliced from 5 exons.